AGAGUUCAAGAGUACGUGAAACCGUUCAGGGGUAAACCUGAGAAACCCAAAAGAUCGAAAGGGGAGAUUCAUCGUCAGCGCAUUUUGUAUAUGUAUCAAUUUAUGAUACGGGUUACUCUUUGUAGUAUUGCCUUGUACAUAUUUGUGCAUUUAGUUGCAAAAUGUUGUCGGCGUGCACUUCUCCCCUAGUAGAACAUCGCGACUCGUUGAGUAUUGGUUUACGAACAGAGUGGGAAGCCUUUAAUUAUCUGCAUUGUAGAUAUUUAAAGACCCUUUGUGUUUUCUAACCAGUUACUCAGCGAUAAAUUUUAUGGUAUUGAGCCGCAUUUAUAUUAAUGUGCGUCCAUAUCCGUCGCAAGCGAGGCUAGUUAAAAUAUUUUUCGGUAGUACGGACCUAGUGCCGUCGCUGAUUCUGGCCAGCUGUUGGCUGUACGGUAAUCUAGGACUGGCUUAAUUAAUACCUGUCAGCGAUGCUAUUGCUUUGGGUACUUUCAGGACCCGUCUUGAAACACGGACCAAGGAGUCUAACAUGUGCGCAAGUCAUUGGGAUUUUUUUUGUAAAAUUAAACCUAAAGGCGUAAUGAAAGUAAAGAUCGACCUUGCGUCGAUUAAGGGAGGAUGAGUUGUUAUUGUAAAAUAUGCAACUUCGCACUCCUGGGGCGUCUCAUUCUCAUUAAGAGAAGAGGCGCACCUAG
This 695-nucleotide ribosomal RNA is filed under the name Odontobracon sp. CNIN3608. RNAcentral's name for it is "partial large subunit ribosomal RNA". It matches the Rfam family "Eukaryotic large subunit ribosomal RNA", at positions 384 to 798 of the family's 3401-position model. The record is from RNAcentral. Lineage: Eukaryota; Metazoa; Arthropoda; Insecta; Hymenoptera; Braconidae.